This 468-nucleotide ribosomal RNA is filed under the name uncultured bacterium. RNAcentral's name for it is "partial 16S ribosomal RNA". It matches the Rfam family "Bacterial small subunit ribosomal RNA", at positions 28 to 507 of the family's 1533-position model. The record is from RNAcentral.
GACGAACGCUGGCGGCGUGCUUAACACAUGCAAGUCGAACGGAAAGGCCCUGCUUUUGUGGGGUGCUCGAGUGGCGAACGGGUGAGUAACACGUGAGUAACCUGCCCUUGACUUUGUGAUAACUUCAGGAAACUGGGACUAAUACCGGAUAGGAGCUCCUGCUGCAUGGUGGGGGUUGGAAAGUUUCGGCGGUUGGGGAUGGACUCGCGGCUUAUCAGCUUGUUGGUGGGGUAGUGGCUUACCAAGGCUUUGACGGGUAGCCGGCCUGAGAGGGUGACCGGCCACAUGGGGACUGAGAUACGGCCCAGACUCCUACGGGAGGCAGCAGUGGAGAAUAUUGCACAAUGGGCGGAAGCCUGAUGCAGCAACGCCGCGUGCGGGAUGACGGCCUUCGGGUUGUAAACCGCUUUCGCCUGUGACGAAGCGUGAGUGACGGUAAUGGGUAAAGAAGCACCGGCUAACUACGUG